CCUNCCUAUCAGAGGGGAAUAACCCGGCGAAAGUCGGACUAAUACCGCAUAAAACAGGGGCACCGCNUGGUGAUAUUUGUUAAAGAAAUUCGCUGAUAGAUGGGCAUGCGUUCCAUUAGGUAGUUGGUGAGGUAACGGCUCACCAAGCCGACGAUGGAUAGGGGAACUGAGAGGUUGGUCCCCCACACUGGUACUGAGACACGGACCAGACUCCUACGGGAGGCAGCAGUGAGGAAUAUUGGUCAAUGGGCGAGAGCCUGAACCAGCCAAGUCGCGUGAAGGAAGAAGGAUCUAUGGUUCGUAAACUUCUUUUGCAGGGGAAUAAAGUGCAGGACGUGUCCUGUUUUGUAUGUACCCUGAGAAUAAGGAUCGGCUAACUCCGUGCCAGCAGCCGCGGUAAUACGGAGGAUCCGAGCGUUAUCCGGAUUUAUUGGGUUUAAAGGGUGCGUAGGUGGUUUGAUAAGUCAGCGGUGAAAGUUUGCAGCUUAACUGUAAAAAUGCCGUUGAAACUGUCGGACUUGAGUGUAAAUGAGGUAGGCGGAAUGCGUGGUGUAGCGGUGAAAUGCAUAGAUAUCACGAAGAACUCCGAUUG
This 592-nucleotide ribosomal RNA is filed under the name uncultured Bacteroidota bacterium. RNAcentral's name for it is "bacterial SSU rRNA". It matches the Rfam family "Bacterial small subunit ribosomal RNA", at positions 125 to 715 of the family's 1533-position model. Lineage: Bacteria; Pseudomonadati; Bacteroidota. The record is from RNAcentral.